Molecule: transfer RNA, 86 nt
Filed under: Solanum tuberosum (potato)
Lineage: Eukaryota; Viridiplantae; Streptophyta; Magnoliopsida; Solanales; Solanaceae
Rfam family: tRNA
About the family: Transfer RNA (tRNA) molecules are approximately 80 nucleotides in length. Their secondary structure includes four short double-helical elements and three loops (D, anti-codon, and T loops).
Source: Rfam by way of RNAcentral
UGAUAGAUGUCUGAGCAGUUGAAAGAGUCGGUUUUGAAAAUCAAAUUAUUUUUAAAAAUACAAGAGUUCAAAUCCCUCUCUAUCUG